CUUUGUGUCCUCUCUCAUGGAAACUUGUUGAAAACACAAAAACCCCAACUCAGAGCUGACAAACAAACAACACAGAGCUCCGUCAUGAAUUUCCCUCGUCCACCGCCCGUCCCCGGCUUAAUCCGCCGGCCAGUCGGUCCCUCACCACCACCUCCAUCACCAGAUCCACCUCAAUUCCUCUCUCCAUCAAAUCAUCACCUCCCUUCUUCUUCAAACGGAGUCGUCGUCGUAGGCUUCCUCUCACGAAGACCAGACGAUUCAUCACACCUUAUAAACCAAGUUCUUGACAACAACGUCUUCGGUUCUGGAAAAUUGAACAAGAUCCUUACCGUUGAUAAACCGGAUUUUCAAGAUUGGUUUAGGUUCCGGAAGAUUUGUUAUUACCACGAAGAAGAUAAAGGAAUCGUCUUUGUGCAAUUCUCACCUAUCAUUUGCCCUGCUUUAUCGAGUUCUUCUGACUCGGGUUUUGAUUCUGUUUUGGAGGAACGAGAGUUCGGUGAUCUUCAGGGUUUGCUAUUUAUGUUCUCUGUUUGCCAUGUUAUCAUAAACAUUCAGGAGGGGUCGCGCUUUGAUACUCGGCUUUUGAAGAAAUUUCGGGUUUUGCAAGCUUCGAAACAAGCUUUAGCCCCAUUUGUUAGGUCGCAGACAGUUUUACCUUUGACAUCAAGACUUCAUUCAUCGUCAAAUAAUUUUUCACAACUACACUCAGCUUCGUCGAGAGGUGGGGGCAUUGUAAGUCGCAGUGGUUCAUCGGUGUCUCUCAAGUCUGGUGGAGGCUCCUACACUUCUCUGUUCCCUGGACAGUGUAAUCCUGUUACAUUGUUCGUAUUUUUGGAUGAUUUCUCAGAUAUGUUGAAGUCCAGUUCUAAUGUAGAGGAUUCAACAACCACUUCAUCUGCUAAUGAUCAGUCUGUGAACACAGGAAAGCUUACUAGGUCAGAGUUACCGACGAAAAAUUCUGGUUCUGUAGUUGUUUUAUCUCGCCCAGGAAGUAAAUCUGAAGGGGGGUUGAGGAAAAAAUUACAAUCAUCUCUCGAAGCACAAGUUAGGUUUUUGAUCAAGAAAUGUAGAACGCUCACAGGUUCGGAUAACAAUCAUGUCGGUUCAAGAAGUGGGAGCAUUUCGAGUUAUGCACCGUUAUUUUCGCUGGAUGCAUCAAAGGCUGUUAUUCUCUUAGACCGAUCAAAUAAGAAAGGAGAGGCUUUGGAGUUUGCCUCUUCUCUUGUUGAUGAUGUUUUGAAUGGAAAGGCUAAUUCAGACUCUCUGUUGCUUGAAAACAAUUGCCAGAUGUCUACCAAAGAAGAUGUGCUAUGUGUGAAAGAGUUCAUCUACAGGUGCUCUGAUAUUUUAAGAGGUAAAGGAGGAUUGGCUGCUAAUUCAGGUAGUGCUGGCGUCGGAAUGGUCGCAGUUGCAGCAGCAGCAGCUGCUGCCUCAACUGGAUCCAGAAAAACGUAUAGUGCACCACAGCUGCCACAAUUGGAUGAAUGGCUCUCUUGCGGUCAUCAAAUUUUAGAUGGAAUUAUAACUGCGAAAAUUGUGUCUACUAAUGAAAUUGACCAACGCAAGAAGAAAUCUCGUGAAAGAAACAUGUCCCCUGUGAAAAAUGAAGCAAGGUCAUCUAAGGGCCCAGAAACUUUGGAUAUUGCUGUCUCUUUGUUAGGAAGUGGAAAAGGUCUGAAUUUGAAGUUUUCAUCCUUAUGGUGUGAAAGAGCCUUUCCGGCUGCUAAAGACGUGUAUUUAAAAGAUCUCCCCUCAUGUUAUCCUACGUUAGUGCAUGAAGAACACCUACAAAAGGCUUUAUAUACUUUCCGCUCAAUGGUCAGAGGACCAUCAGUGCAGAUUUUCACAAAGAGGUUACAGGAUGAGUGCAUAUCGAUAUGGGAAUCCGGGAGGCAGCUUUGUGAUGCUACCAGUUUAACCGGUAAACCAUGUGUGCACCAGAGGCACAAUGUGGAGGAGCAAUUUCUCCCUGGGGCGGAAAUCAUGUCACAUUCCAGUGGUUAUGUUUUUCUUCACGCAUGUGCUUGUGGCCGUUCACGGAAAUUACGUUGUGAUCCUUUUGAUUUUGACUCGGCAAAUAUUUCUUUUAACUGCUUUCCAGAUUGUGACAAACUUCUUCCUAGUGUUAAGCUUCCUGAAAUAGCUCAUGCAGGGCCUAUAAUAUCAUCUUCAUGGAGUCUAGUUCGAGUUGGUGGUUCGAGAUACUAUGAACCCUCAAAAGGUUUACUUCAAAGUGGGUUUUCUGCAAUCCAGAAGUUCCUUUUAAAAUUGGUACUCUCUUCGCAGAAAGAUGAUGCUCCAAAUGAUUUGCUGGUUGGGGAAUCGGAGAAAGCUUGUAUAUCUAGGGCAAAUGUAACUAUGGCUAAGACUAUCAGAACUAACAUUGAUUCUGCACCGGUUACCUUGGCCACAGUGACACGUGGAGAAUCUGUUGGUAAUGGUAGUAUUGGUGACAAGAAAAUUAGUUUUGGUAGAGGCCUUCCCAAUUUACUAAUGAGAAAGCCUUUCUCCGAGGUUGUUGCUGGAUCAAAGAGUACAGAUUUGUUAUUUCCUCCCCUUCAACCGAGCAGGCAGCCUCCUCCGGCCUUAGAAAAGGUUGUCAAGCAAAAGGUUUGGAAUGGUCUGAGUGAAGAGAGCGUUCAGGAUGCUUGUAAUCAAGAAUGUCAAGAGUUUAAGGACAUUUCUCGUGAUCAGGAAACCUUAGGCAUGUCUAGAGGUAUAUCUGCGACAGGCAAUGACCUUCCGUUGCAAAAUGGUAGUAAUCCUGUGCCAGUAAACAUGAAAGUUGCUGAGAAGGUUACGUCAAGCCCCGUGCAGAAACCUCUGACUGCUUACAUAGGGUUUGAGCACGAGUGCCCCAGUGGUCAUCGCUUUUUAUUGAAUACAGAGCAUCUUGCUAAGCUUGGCCCUUACUCUGUCCCUGAAGAAUAUUUUGAUCCUAAUUCUGCAGAAAGUUCAAAAAUUAAGACUGACACUUCAAAGCUGCAGAAAAAUAUUGUUUAUGGUAAAGGACGCCGAAAGACAAAUAGGAUGGCUUCUGGAGUGAAUAGGAUGAAAAACAUGGACAGGUCAAACCAAGUGGUCUCAAAAGAUAAUAUUUUUCCUGGAAAAAAAGGGAAUAGAAAUUCAGCUGAUAGUGAACCCAUCAAUCAACAUAUACAUAACCUUGGGGCCAAUAACCAAGAUAAUAACGCUGAAGACUUUGGGGUAGCUUUUUCUAUGCUGAAUAGAAACUUGCCGAUAUUUAUGAAUUGUCCACAUUGCUCAGCUGCUUUUGGAAAGAAAGAUUCUUCAGAUAUCAAGUAUGCGGGUACAAUAUCGCAGCUUCAAAGGAUCUUUCUGGUUACGCCUCAGUUUCCAGUAGUGUUGGCAACUUGUCCAGUGAUAAAGUUUGAGGAGUCAUGUAUACCUCCCUCCAUCAUUGGCCGUGAACAGAAGUUGCAGUUCAGCCUUGGAUGUCCAGUGAUUUUACCACCUGAUAGUUUUCUCUCUCUAAGAUUGCCAUUUGUGUACGGUGUGCAACUUGAAGAUGGAACACAACUUCCUCUUAUGCCGUCUGCACAAGAACCUGAGAAAACUGCCUGGAUUGUCAAGGGCACGGUGCUUCAGUUUCUAACAAAAGAGAACGAUCUCGGUGAAAAACUCCAGACGUGAUGUGAAUUUGUCUACGCCUUUCAAAUUAUCAUCACAGCGAUGCUUCUCCCAUGCUGUGCACCGAGCAUGCUCCUCUGAACCAGAAACUCUCGGUAAGUUAUUAUCUGAUGGGGAAUGAGAUUCCACUUAUUUCGGUAUCUGCACGCAGUAUCAUGAUUCUUCAGUUGCCUAUAAGAUGCUUUUGAAGUCGGGCUUAAAAAGUUGAAGCAUAGAGUGAACAGAUAGGUGAUAAGGGUCACUAGCCACGUUUCAGAUAGCUUGGAGAGCAGAGGAGACAGUGCAAACCUCAGCCAUGAUUGUUGAAACAAGUUUCUGGGAUUGGGACAUCUGAUGACUGUUUAUAAUCCAAAUAAAUGUGCUUUUGAAGUUUCCUAUCUUCUGUGUGAACAAAGCUGUUUUCAUAGAAAGACAGUCUUCUUAUUUAAAGAAAUUUCUUUUUCUGGUAGAUUCUUAGUUGACUUCUUCUAUGGUUUAACUUGUAAGAAGCUGAAGACAUAUACUAUUUAUAGUGGAGAAACAACUCAAAAACUGUCUAAAACUACA
RNA transcript from Arabidopsis lyrata subsp. lyrata, 4197 nucleotides. It is a transcript of the gene named cation/H(+) antiporter 8, with no coding region annotated. Lineage: Eukaryota; Viridiplantae; Streptophyta; Magnoliopsida; Brassicales; Brassicaceae. The record is from RefSeq and is a predicted model, not a curated record. The transcript has 5 exons.